AACGAACGCUGGCGGCAUGCCUAACACAUGCAAGUCGAACGAGACCUUCGGGUCUAGUGGCGCACGGGUGCGUAACGCGUGGGAACCUGCCCUUAGGUUCGGAAUAACUCAGAGAAAUUUGAGCUAAUACCGGAUGAUGUCUUCGGACCAAAGAUUUAUCGCCUUUAGAUGGGCCCGCGUUGGAUUAGCUAGUUGGUGGGGUAAAGGCCUACCAAGGCGACGAUGCAUAGCUGGUCUGAGAGGAUGAUCAGCCACACUGGGACUGAGACACGGCCCAGACUCCUACGGGAGGCAGCAGUGGGGAAUAUUGGACAAUGGGCGAAAGCCUGAUGCAGCAAUGCCGCGUAAGUGAUGAAGGCCGUAGGGUUGUAAAGCUCUUUUACCCGAGAUGAUAACGACGGUAUCGGGAGAAUAAGCUCCGGCUAACUCCGUG
Molecule: ribosomal RNA, 433 nt
Filed under: uncultured bacterium
Lineage: Bacteria
Description: partial 16S ribosomal RNA
Rfam family: Bacterial small subunit ribosomal RNA
Source: RNAcentral